GUCAACAGCCAUGUAGAACGUUACCCAGUCUCGUCAGCUCCCGGAAGUCAAGUUAGUCCGGGUACCGUUAGCACUUGGAUGGGUGACCGCUCGGGAAUACGGGAUGCUGUUGGCG
RNAcentral lists this ribosomal RNA (115 nucleotides) under Daphnia magna. Lineage: Eukaryota; Metazoa; Arthropoda; Branchiopoda; Diplostraca; Daphniidae. The record is from RNAcentral.